Molecule: ribosomal RNA, 468 nt
Filed under: uncultured bacterium
Lineage: Bacteria
Description: partial 16S ribosomal RNA
Rfam family: Bacterial small subunit ribosomal RNA
Source: RNAcentral
GACGAACGCUGGCGGCGUGCUUAACACAUGCAAGUCGAACGGAAACGCACUGCUUUUGUGGGGUGCUCGAGUGCCGAACGGGUGAGUAUCACGUGUGUAACCUAACCUUGUCUUUGGGGUAACUUCAGGAAACUGGGGUUACUAUCGUACCGCAUCUCCUGCUCCAUUGUGGGCGUUGGAAAGUUUCGGCGGUUGGGGAUGGACGCGCGGCUGAUGAGCUUGUUGGUGGGGUAGUGGCAUACCAAGGCUGUGACGGGUAGCCGGCCUGAGAGGGUGACCGGGCACAAUGGGACUGAGGUAGGGCCCAGAGGGCUACGGGAGGCAGCGGGGGAGAACAUUGCACAAUGGGCGGAAGCCGGAUGCAGCGACGCCGCGUGCGUGAUGACGGCCUGUGGGGUGUAAACCGCUUUCGCCUGUGACGAAGCGUGAGUGACGGUAACGAGUGAAGAAGCACCGGCUAACUACGUG